This is a long non-coding RNA of Mauremys reevesii (Reeves's turtle), 332 nucleotides long. RefSeq lists it as uncharacterized. The record is from RefSeq and is a predicted model, not a curated record. The transcript has 3 exons. NCBI's taxonomy places the organism in Eukaryota, Metazoa, Chordata, Testudines, Geoemydidae.
CAGCUUAUGCCAAGAUGUUUGGGAAGAAAGUCAAAAUGGAAGGUUUAAAUGAAGGGCAGUCCAAUCCCCUUGCCCAUCAAGAAGGUGCUGCUGAGUUGAGCAAGGAUCUCCGGGAUAUAAAUCUUCUAAGUGGGAAGAACUUCAGGAAGUCAGCACCACAAUCCCCUAGGAAAUCCAAGAAGAGAGCCUGCUUUUGGAAAUACUGUGUUCAGAGCAAGUAGAUUUUAGCCCUUCAAUCAACAGACCAUUUUGGUGACUAAAGAAUUUGACCCGGACAAAGAAAGCUUCAAAAGCUGAAGCCUUUUCCACACAAACAAUUAAACAGCAAGUAA